Molecule: ribosomal RNA, 916 nt
Filed under: Trimmatostroma betulinum
Lineage: Eukaryota; Fungi; Ascomycota; Dothideomycetes; Mycosphaerellales; Mycosphaerellaceae
Description: eukaryotic LSU rRNA
Rfam family: Eukaryotic large subunit ribosomal RNA
Source: RNAcentral
UUGACCUCGGAUCAGGUAGGGAUACCCGCUGAACUUAAGCAUAUCAAUAAGCGGAGGAAAAGAAACCAACAGGGAUUACCUCAGUAACGGCGAGUGAAGCGGUAACAGCUCAAAUUUGAAAGCUGCCAACAGGCCGCAUUGUAAUUUGUAGAAGAUGCUUUGGGUGUUGACCUAGUCUAAGUUCCUUGGAACAGGACGUCAUAGAGGGUGAGAAUCCCGUAUGUGAUUAGUGUCAGCCCCCGUGUAAAGCUCUUUCGACGAGUCGAGUUGUUUGGGAAUGCAGCUCAAAAUGGGUGGUAAAUUUCAUCUAAAGCUAAAUAUUGGCCAGAGACCGAUAGCGCACAAGUAGAGUGAUCGAAAGAUGAAAAGCACUUUGGAAAGAGAGUUAAACAGUACGUGAAAUUGUUGAAAGGGAAGCGCUUGCAAUCAGACUUGCAGGCAGUCGAUCAUCCGAGGUUCUCCUCGGUGCACUCGAUUGUCUUCAGGCCAGCAUCGGUUUCGGUGGUGGGAUAAAGGCUGUGGGAAUGUGGCUCUUCGGAGUGUUAUAGCCCACGGUGCAAUGCCGCCUACCGGGACCGAGGACCGCGCUUCGGCUAGGAUGCUGGCGUAAUGGUUGUAAGCGACCCGUCUUGAAACACGGACCAAGGAGUCUAACAUCUAUGCGAGUGUUUGGGUGUCAAACCCAUACGCGUAAUGAAAGUGAACGGAGGUGAGAACCCUUUAGGGUGCAUCAUCGACCGAUCCUGAUGUCUUCGGAUGGAUUUGAGUAAGAGCAUAGCUGUUGGGACCCGAAAGAUGGUGAACUAUGCGUGAAUAGGGUGAAGCCAGAGGAAACUCUGGUGGAGGCUCGCAGCGGUUCUGACGUGCAAAUCGAUCGUCAAAUUUGGGUAUAGGGGCGAAAGACUAAUCGAACCAU